UACAGAGGGUGCGAGCGUUGUCCGGAAUCACUGGGCGUAAAGGGCGCGUAGGUGGCGAUCCAAGUCCAUGGUGAAAGCUCGAUGCUCAACAUCGAGUCGGCCACGGAUACUGGGGUUGCUUGAGCACUGUAGGGGCAGAUGGAAUUCCGGGUGUAGCGGUGGAAUGCGUAGAGAUCCGGAAGAACACCGGUGGCGAAGGCGGGUCUCUGGGCCGAUACUGACGCUGAGGAGCGAAAGCGUGGGGAGCGAACAGG
Molecule: ribosomal RNA, 254 nt
Filed under: uncultured bacterium
Lineage: Bacteria
Description: partial 16S ribosomal RNA
Rfam family: Bacterial small subunit ribosomal RNA
Source: RNAcentral